RNAcentral lists this long non-coding RNA (1148 nucleotides) under Equus caballus (horse). RNAcentral describes it as "lncRNA (ENSECAG00000057581.1)". Lineage: Eukaryota; Metazoa; Chordata; Mammalia; Perissodactyla; Equidae. The record is from RNAcentral.
GAAACCCUUGGCAGCCAAAGUGGAGCACAUGAACUUAACCACCCAGCUACGGGGGCAGCACCAAAGGAUACAUUCCACAGAGGUACACAGAACUAUGAUGUGUGGCUUUUGCGUCUUGCCACUCCCUUCCAGAGGGCCUUUCCAUCUUCCAAGUCUGCUCUAAGUGUCCCAGGGCCUCAUGCAGCCACUGGGAAUGCCCAGGGACCAAACUCAGCCUCCAACUUCUGGGAUCCUCAUCUCCCUUCAAACAUAAAAGAAGUUGCCUGCACGUUUGGGAUCUGGUAACAGGACCACAAGAAAACUCUUGCAGCAAACUGAAGGUUUCUAUUUCAGAUCCUUCCACCACCUUCACCACCAUCAUUUCCAUAAUCCACCACCACCAUCACCACUAUCAUCACUACUACCUUCAUCACCACCUCUCAAUACCUCCAUCAUCACCACCCACCAUCAUCACCUCCACCACCAUGAGCACCACAUCUACCAUCAAAAAAGAGUUUAUUUCCCAGCUCUUUGACUCUUGACGCUGGGUUGGCCAUGUGACUUCUCUGGCUAAUAGGAUAUUAACAAAUGUGAUGCAAGCAGUGGCUUGAAAAAAGCAUGCACUUUGGAGUUUGCCCUCUCUUGUUGAUCUGGGAACCCUGCCACUACCACCACGUGAUCUAAUCUGGGCUGGCCUGCUGGAGGAUAACCGAUCAUGUGGAGCAGAGAUGAGCUAGUCCAGCUCCAGCCCUACGAGACUAAUCAGCCCGCCAAUCAGCAGAUACAUGAGAGACCAUUCUGGACCAUCCAGACCCUGCUCAGCUGGCCGAGGCCUGAACACCCCCCAGGUUGAGAGACUAGAGAUUCAUGAUAAAUAAUAAAAUAUUUAUUGUUUGAAGCCACAAAAUGUUGUGGUGGUUUGUUAUAGAGCAAAAGCUGGCUGAUACAGGGACCGUAUCUCACUGAGUUUUAUUUUCCUCUUUUCUCUUUAUCCAUUCCAAAAAGUUUGGGUAAAACGUUUGGUUUAUUGGAGCCAGUUAUCAUAAACACACGAUCUUUCACUUUCUUCCAAUUCUAAAAGCUCUGAUUGUCUUAUAUUAGUAAGCUUCCUGUCUCAGUUAUGGUCUUUACAGAAGAAAGGGGCUGGGGCUAAAGGUAGUAGAAACGAG